CCGAACCACGGCAGGAACGGGGGAACCACGACUGGCCCGCGGGUGAACUGCGGGCCUAUGGGGUGAAGCCUGCGGGAGCAGGCCGGGCUUCUCCAGUCCGAACCCGACAGCUCACCUCGGCAGCUCAAUAAGGAGAA
This 137-nucleotide small RNA is filed under the name Actinomyces israelii. Its description in RNAcentral is "ydaO/yuaA leader". It matches the Rfam family "c-di-AMP riboswitch aptamer (ydaO/yuaA leader)", at positions 13 to 131 of the family's 134-position model. Rfam says of the family: This family represents a conserved RNA structure found upstream of the ydaO and yuaA genes in Bacillus subtilis and related genes in other bacteria. The record is from RNAcentral. Lineage: Bacteria; Bacillati; Actinomycetota; Actinomycetes; Actinomycetales; Actinomycetaceae.